RNAcentral lists this ribosomal RNA (135 nucleotides) under uncultured bacterium. RNAcentral describes it as "partial 16S ribosomal RNA". It matches the Rfam family "Bacterial small subunit ribosomal RNA", at positions 355 to 480 of the family's 1533-position model. The record is from RNAcentral.
GGGGGAAUCUUGGGCAAUGGGCGAAAGCCUGACCCAGCGACGCCGCGUGGGGGAAGAAGGCCUUCGGGUCGUAAACCCCUGUUCUGGAGGAAGAACCCAGGAUAGGUGAAUAACCUAUCCUGGCUGACGGUACCC